Non-coding RNA from Lupinus albus (white lupine), 441 nucleotides. Lineage: Eukaryota; Viridiplantae; Streptophyta; Magnoliopsida; Fabales; Fabaceae. The record is from the annotation of a GenBank genome assembly.
UCAUUUUUGGCUUUAGGGGAAUUGGGGAAAUUAGAGAGGAGGGUGAGAAGGAGAGGGAAAAUCUGGGAUGAGAAGAAGAAGGGGAACUUUGCAUCGAGCAAGCAAAGCAACAUCAUGAACCAGAUUAUUGUUGUUGAUGAUCCACUGUGAAGAACCUUCUUGGUGGCAUAUCCUCCCAGGCUGAAUCAUCAAUUGGUGUCAAUCAACUCUAGCUCCCAUGUUUCAUUCUUUGAUGUUAACAGCUCGUACCAUAAUGUGUGUCAUUGGGUUGUAAUGUUUAUGCUUUUUUUGUUGUAAUUAUAUAUAUCUUUAGAGAUGAAGUGGUGUAUCAAUUGUAUUAGGAUGUUUUGGAACGAAAUGGAAUGAGAGAGUUACAAAAAAAUGUGACAGUAGUAUUGUAUUUGAUAAAAAAAUGUUAAAAUGAUAGUCUUAAGUUCUCAU